This 424-nucleotide ribosomal RNA is filed under the name uncultured bacterium. RNAcentral's name for it is "partial 16S ribosomal RNA". It matches the Rfam family "Bacterial small subunit ribosomal RNA", at positions 359 to 774 of the family's 1533-position model. The record is from RNAcentral.
GAAUAUUGGACAAUGGGGGGAACCCUGAUCCAGCCAUGCCGCGUGUGUGAAGAAGGCCUUUUGGUUGUAAAGCACUUUAAGCGAGGAGGAGGCUAUGUUGAUGAAUACUCUAGGAUGGUGGACGUUACCUGCAGAAUAAGCACCGGCUAACUCAGUGCCAGCCGCCGCGGUAAUAAAGAGGGUGCAAGCGUUAAUCGGAUUUACUGGGCGUAAAGCGCGCGUAGGUGGCCCACUAAGUCAAAUGUGAAAUCCCCGAGCUUAACUUGGGAAUUGCAUUCGAUACUGGUUGGCUAGAGUAUGGGAGAGGAUGGUAGAAUUCCAGGUGUAGCGGUGAAAUGCGUAGAGAUCUGGAGGAAUACCGAUGGCGAAGGCAGCCAUCUGGACUAAUACUGACACUGAGGUGCGAAAGCAUGGGGAGCAAACA